RNAcentral lists this ribosomal RNA (253 nucleotides) under uncultured bacterium. RNAcentral's name for it is "partial 16S ribosomal RNA". It matches the Rfam family "Bacterial small subunit ribosomal RNA", at positions 524 to 776 of the family's 1533-position model. The record is from RNAcentral.
UACGUAGGGUGCGAGCGUUAAUCGGAAUUACUGGGCGUAAAGCGUGUGUAGGCGGAUCGUUAAGUGUCUUGUGAAAUCCCACGGCUCACCCGUGGAACGGCUGGGCAUACUGGCGAUCUUGGGCCAACUAGGGGCAACUGGAACAAGCGGUGGAGCGGUGAAAUGCGCAGAUAUCAGGAGGAACACCAAUUGCGAAGGCAGCUCGCUGGGACGUUACUGACGCUGAGACGCGAAAGCGUGGGGAGCAAACAGG